Molecule: ribosomal RNA, 224 nt
Filed under: uncultured bacterium
Lineage: Bacteria
Description: partial 16S ribosomal RNA
Rfam family: Bacterial small subunit ribosomal RNA
Source: RNAcentral
GACGUAGGGUGCGAGCGUUGUCCGGAUUUAUUGGACGUAAAGAGCUCGUAGGCGGCUCGUCGCGUCAGCUGUGAAAACCCGCAGCUUAACUGUGGGCUUGCAGCUGAUACGGGCGGGCUAGAGUUCGGUAGGGGAGACUGGAAUUCCUGGUGUAGCGGUGAAAUGCGCAGAUAUCAGGAGGAACACCGAUUGCGAAGGCAGCUCGCUGGAACGUUACUGACGCU